CCCGGUCCGCCGCCACAAGCCGGCCUCCGAGAAGCCCGCGGGAACGUUACCCUCGGUGCUGGAGUUGCCGCCAUCGCCGCCGCUACCACGACGGCAGAUACGCGAACCUCUCCACUCGGCACCCGCCGCCAUCUUCUCUUUCAAACAUUCAGGCUUGGGGAUGCCAGAAGCAGCUGGGAGUGAAAAUGAAAUGAUUUCACAACUUCAACAAGUUAGGAACUACAAAGAAUAUGAAGGUAUUGACAAUCAUUAGGAAUGUGACAAUAAAAAUGAAGAUUUGGAGGAUACAAUUUUCAAAAGGAUUAUAUGAAGUUUUAGACUCUUCUACUCUGGAACUCUGCUGGAGAAGGCUUCGGGAGUAAACCCCAAGGAAACGUCUGGAGCUGGAGUCCUAAAGCAGUCCUACGUUGAGUUCAAUGUUGACUGGCAACUCUUGUGAUGCCACUGAUGCCAAACUGUAUCAGCGUCUACCAUUUCUUUUGAUUCAUCAGCUACGUGGAGAGGAGGAACCUGCUGCAUGGGCAACAACUUGCUCUCCAUAUAGUACUAGCCAGUAUCCACGUCCGUGUUCAACUCUGACCAACAGAGGACCUCACUCUAGGAAAAAGACACCUCAUCUACUUUCUUCAUGAUUUUAUAUAACCUUCAUAAUCUCUCCACUCAACAUCCUACUCUCCAAGGAAAAAAGAGCAUAUCCAACAUCUUCUCACUCUCAAGCUGUCAAGUCGUCCUCACAAAACCAUUCUGCGUCCUCUCCAGUUCAGUAACAUCUCUACAGCUCGGUGACCAGACCUACACACAAAAGUAGUCAGAAUUAGAGAGUCAGAGAUCUUAGGAGGUUGGAGGAGACUACAGAGAUAGGGAGAGGACUAUAUAUUGAUUGGAAAUGCACCGUUCUGGAAAAGACCACUCUAAGAAAUAUACUAAUGACAACAUUAAGAACUUUUAUCAAACUAUCAAACAAGGACACAUGUCAGGAUACUAUUUCUGGAUUUCAGCUUGCCAUUAAACACUAUUGUGCCACAGACCUUGGUGAAAAAAUUCCUAGUCCUUGGUCUAAAUACACUGUUGAGUGACUGGGCGUUGGACUUUCUAACUAACAGACCUCAGAUAGUCAGGGUGCACAACUGUUCCAUCAUCUUCAACAUGGGUGCCACCUCAGGGCUGUGUGCUGAGCCCAUUGCUGUAUAGCCCACUCACACCUGAGUAAUCGCCAAGUUCACCGAUGACAAGACAUUGACAUCACCAACAAUGAUGAGACAGCCUGCAGAGAGGAAGUGGAAGAGUUUGAAGCCUGAUGCCAGGCACAUAACCUCUUCUUCAAUGUCAACAAGACAAAAAAGAUGGUUAUCAGCCAAAGGAGAACUUGCAGUGCUCAUACCUCUCUUUGCAUUGGCAGCACAGCAUUGGAAACAAGCUCCUGGGAAUGCACAUCUCGCACAACUUCUCAUGGUCCCAGAACAGAUCCUACAUUACCAAGAAAACUUACCAACACCUCUACUUUCUCUGGAGAUGGAAGAAAGCUGGACUCAUGAUGUUCUACAGAUGCGCAGAAGAGAACAUUCAGACAUGCUGCAAUAUUGCAUGGUACAGAAACUGCAGUGUGGUGGACAGGAAGGCACUAGAGUAGGAAGUCAAAACUGCCCAUGCAUCACCGGCACCUGCCUACCUGCCAUCAAGGAUAUAUUUAUAGAACGGUGCCAGAAAAGGGCCAGCAAUAUCAUGAAGAAUCCCAACCACCUUGCUAAUGAGCUCCCACCACAGAGGAGGCUACGUAACAUCACCACACUCACAAUCAGUUACUUUCCCCAAGCAGUAAGGUUGAUCAACACCUCCACCCACUAACCUAUCCUAUCACAACCCCCACCACCACUGCUUUAUUAUUUCCUAUCAGAGUCACCUUAUGUACAGACACUCCUGUACCCAGUAUCACUUUAUAUACUUAUAUACAAUCAAUCUAUGUAAAUAAGCUAUCUUAUGUAUUUAUAUUUAUUGUGUUUUGAUUGUGUUCUUUAUCUUAGUGUCUUUUUUAUAUGCUGCAUCGGAUCCAGAGUAACAAUUAUUUUGUUCUCCUUCACACUUGUGUACUGGAAAUGACAAUAAACAAUCUUGAA
Mobula hypostoma (lesser devil ray) is the source of this 2114-nucleotide long non-coding RNA. RefSeq lists it as uncharacterized. The record is from RefSeq and is a predicted model, not a curated record. The transcript has 3 exons. NCBI's taxonomy places the organism in Eukaryota, Metazoa, Chordata, Chondrichthyes, Myliobatiformes, Myliobatidae.